This 1478-nucleotide ribosomal RNA is filed under the name Listeria monocytogenes. RNAcentral describes it as "partial 23S ribosomal RNA". It matches the Rfam family "Bacterial large subunit ribosomal RNA", at positions 1 to 1471 of the family's 2925-position model. The record is from RNAcentral. Lineage: Bacteria; Bacillati; Bacillota; Bacilli; Caryophanales; Listeriaceae.
UUGGUUAAGUUAGAAAGGGCGCACGGUGGAUGCCUUGGCACUAGGAGCCGAAGAAGGACGGGACUAACACCGAUAUGCUUUGGGGAGCUGUACGUAAGCGUUGAUCCAGAGAUUUCCGAAUGGGGGAACCCACUAUCUUUAGUCGGAUAGUAUCCUUACGUGAAUACAUAGCGUGAGGAAGGCAGACCCAGGGAACUGAAACAUCUAAGUACCUGGAGGAAGAGAAAGAAAAAUCGAUUUCCUGAGUAGCGGCGAGCGAAACGGAAAGAGCCCAAACCAAGAAGCUUGCUUCUUGGGGUUGUAGGACACUCUAUACGGAGUUACAAAAGAAAGUUAUAAAUGAAGCGGUCUGGAAAGGCCCGCCAAAGACGGUAACAGCCCGGUAGUUGAAAUGGCUUUCCCUCCAGAGUGGAUCCUGAGUACGGCGGAACACGUGAAAUUCCGUCGGAAUCCGGGAGGACCAUCUCCCAAGGCUAAAUACUCCCUAGUGACCGAUAGUGAACCAGUACCGUGAGGGAAAGGUGAAAAGCACCCCGGAAGGGGAGUGAAACAGUUCCUGAAACCGUGUGCCUACAAGUAGUUAGAGCCCGUUAAUGGGUGAUAGCGUGCCUUUUGUAGAAUGAACCGGCGAGUUACGAUUUGUUGCAAGGUUAAGCGGAAAAAGCGGAGCCGUAGCGAAAGCGAGUCUGAAUAGGGCGCAUAAGUAACAGGUCGUAGACCCGAAACCAGGUGAUCUACCCAUGUCCAGGAUGAAGGUAAGGUAAUACUUACUGGAGGUCCGAACCCACGCACGUUGAAAAGUGCGGGGAUGAGGUGUGGGUAGCGGAGAAAUUCCAAUCGAACUUGGAGAUAGCUGGUUCUCUCCGAAAUAGCUUUAGGGCUAGCCUCGAGGUAAAGAGUCAUGGAGGUAGAGCACUGUUUGGACUAGGGGCCCUUCUCGGGUUACCGAAUUCAGAUAAACUCCGAAUGCCAUGUACUUAUACUCGGGAGUCAGACUGCGAGUGAUAAGAUCCGUAGUCGAAAGGGAAACAGCCCAGACCACCAGUUAAGGUCCCCAAAUAUAUGUUAAGUGGAAAAGGAUGUGGGGUUGCUUAGACAACCAGGAUGUUGGCUUAGAAGCAGCCACCAUUGAAAGAGUGCGUAAUAGCUCACUGGUCGAGUGACCCCGCGCCGAAAAUGUACCGGGGCUAAACAUAUUACCGAAACUGUGGAUGAACCUCUUUAGAGGUUCGUGGUAGGAGAGCGUUCUAAGGGCGGUGAAGUCAGACCGGAAGGACUGGUGGAGCGCUUAGAAGUGAGAAUGCCGGUAUGAGUAGCGAAAGAAGGGUGAGAAUCCCUUCCACCGAAUAUCUAAGGUUUCCUGAGGAAGGCUCGUCCGCUCAGGGUUAGUCGGGACCUAAGCCGAGGCCGAUAGGCGUAGGCGAUGGACAACAGGUAGAGAUUCCUGUACCAGUGCUAAUUGUUUAACCGAUGGGGUG